GGUCGCCUUCGCAGCAACCGAGAAAAUCCAAAGUUUCGCAGUGCCUCCCGGUACGCCCGGUACUUGGAAAUGCCAUUAAAACUCAUCGCUCAUCCGGUUAAUCAAUUAUUGAAAAUUAAAUUAACGUCGAGUGGUUCGGUGGUGGUGGUGGUGAUGGUUGUGCUCCAAAGUUUUCAUCAAGGAUCGGAGCUGAUGUUUAAGUUAUUGGUUCCAUUUUAAUCGCCAAAAACAAGUGUGCUGCCAGCAUUUCCGCCGUGAGGACAGGACCAGUUUGAUGCAUAAUUCGUACACAUGCGGGGUUUCGGGUAAAGCUGUUUUGCUACCCGUUUUUCGGGUGGUUUUAAAUCGUCGAAUCGAUGAAUCCGAUAGCUCGAAGGGUGAAGUUGUUGUUUUGCGGGCGGUAGAACACAAGCACGGGAGUUCCUUGACGAACUAGCGAUGUACAACGAGGUAAAGUUUAACCACUACCGCAAACACUUGCCGGUACAGUCGGGGAAGGAUGGUAGAAUCAUUUAAAAUACAUGUCCUGACCACAGUCGGUGGCCCCAAAACCACCGAAUGAUGUCGAUCGGGAGGGUUGCAGGAAUUCAUGAUAAGAGUUUUUUUUUCUCCCUUUCUGUCCCUUAAAGUUCGAUCGGCUCAGAACGGAUAGAAACGGUGUGGAUUAAGAUUAAGAAGCACCUUUUACGGUGGAAAUGAUACAUGAAUCAACACUUGCACCUGCGAGGUUGUUGCCGAUGGCGUUGCACAAGAAAACGAGGUCGAUGGCGUGUGGACUAGGGGAAAUCGGAAGUGCUUUCAAAGACUUUUUUGUAGCUGUGUUGGCGCACAACAAGCACAACCCAGUAUCACCGUGCAGGAAUCAGAAUUGAAUUUGCUGGCCGGGCCAAAGCGAAGGAAUGUUUUGGGAAGGUAGGGAAAAAUCUAAACAAUUUUAAUUUUCAUCGAACGAAGAACAGCACUCGACAGCCAUUGCAGCCAAUUGCUAUGCUGGUCGUUGCGGAAGACCGACCGCCCUGCUGCUGCUGACCGUAUGGAAUGCUUGGCUCCAAUUGGUACGACCAAACAUUGACCGAGGGUGACGUAUCGGGUGGAAUUUUUGGAGUGUGAGGAAAAGAAAGGGGGAAAAAAAAUCUUCGGUUUGAGGAAGUGAACACUUCUUCCGUUUGGUCGGUUGGUUUGCGAAAAUGCCUUCGAGUUGGAUUUAUUUAUUUAUUUGUUUUUCCUUCACACUUUUCAGCGGUACCAGCAGCACCUAACAGACGGACAUUUUAUUUCCAACACCAUCACGAUGGCUUUCCUUUUUUUUUACUUCCACUGGUAUUAUUAUUUCGGCACACAUAGGGUUUUCUUUAUUUUUCGCCUCAGCGCAUUUUGUCACCCAUUUGCUCGGAGCGUUCGGGUUCGCCGGCGCGAUGGAUGGCGAAUUUAACGGCGACAACCGAACGCGUCAAAUGCGAUGCUUUAUUUCGCCAAAACCGGCCGGUGGUGCAUGAACCCUUUUCUGCUUUUUGGGAUUUUUUUGGAUUUCGUUCGUUCGCUCGUUUGUUUAUUUGUGCCAAUUGAAAAGUGCUUCUGAAAAGGGGUGGGUAUCGUUCCGGAGUGGUGGGAUUCGGUGGUUACGGAGCUUUUCCACUGGACUUUUUGAUUAAAAUUCUUUACACAAAACCACACCGUCGGUGGCAUAGUGGUGGGUUUUUUGGAGGCUUUUUGCUGUUGUGCGCUUGCUUGCCGGAGUGUUGUUUUAUUACAUUCCAAGUAGCUGCAAGAGCAUCUUGGGUCUUGAAGGAAAAUUGCUACAUCCAGCAUGAACGUUGUUUUCGUUGUGUAAAAAUUGAUAGUAUUAUGUAGUGCAGUAACUGAAAAUGAUUAUGAUUUUUUUUUUUACUAAAUCAUCAUUAUUUUGUUAUAAAUUCCAAUUUCAUCCAGCAUGGUGUAAGGCUUCAUUUGUCCCAGUCUUAAGCAGGAAGGUACUCUAUAAAAUAAAUUUUAUAACGAUAAGAAAAAACAUCAAAUCAUCUCUUCCUUCAUUUUGUGUUCAAAAACUGUAGAAUAAUUUUAGGAGCUUUAAAUUCACUACUUUAUAACGGAUAAGUUCUGCAAGACAGUAAGAAAGGCUUAGGAUAUCAGAUAUUUUGUAUCAGAUUCUUGAACCAUGUACAAUUUUUUGUGAGCUUCUCAAUAAUAAGAGAAAACCUUUUCAACAACGAACUAUGUACCCUCAAAAAAAUAUGCCGUAUUUCAAUAGGCUGGUAUUAAAUCGCAGAAAUAAAUUUAAACAUUAUUCUUUCCUUCCUUGGCUCUUCAACCUCGACAGGUAUCGGCCCACCAUUACAGGCGUUCUGUGACUUAAUUUUACCCCUCGCUAGGUUGACGGGAUUUGAACCCAGGUCUUGUCGUGUGAAGACCAGUGCGCUUAUUGCCUCUGCCAUCGGCAUAGCUAAUAAUAUUUAAAGAAAGUUCCUUUAGCAGAGUUUUUUCUAACCUUUUACCUUUUACUUAACCCUGUUCGGAAGACAAGCUAUCUAGUUACGGGUUAAAUCAAGUCACACGGAACCAUACAUGACCGCCCGCGAACUUUAAAGGUUAUAGUGCCAAGGAAGAAGAACGAACCAUGACUUUCUAUUAUUUGUGAAACUAUUUUAAGCUUUAAAAUACAAAAAAAACUGUUUCAGUCACAUAGAACCACGUUACCCUACGAAACGCAAUAAAAACCGUCCCACACGUCACAAUUUUCAUUAAAACUUUCCGUUAAUCUUUGCUAAGCAUAUUAGCUUCAUACUCCUUUCGCAACAAAUGUCAUCCUCAGGCGAAGUCGCGUCGAGUCAACAAGUCUCUCUCCCUCUCUCGCGCUUCAACCCACCACGUUCAGGCCAGUAAGUUAGGUUAAAAAUUACACACAAUUUCAAACAGACGUGGCGCUUGUCACAUAAGCGUUCAGAUUGUGCUCACCGCUUCCUACCACGCAUCCAAGCGCAAAGGCGCUAAAUUAACGUCCUUCCCGAAGGUUGACGUGUUCUACUCGUUUAAACUUUAAUUAUACUCCGUGCCACGGAUCCCGACCUCAAAGCACAAAAAAAAAACUGGGUAAGAAAAGUUCUGGCCAGGAUGAUGUUACUAGGACGGUCAUAAACUGUUCCUGGGCACGAAUCAAACCGACGGCGUGAAGGGUGGGUUGGAUCGGCGUUAUGGUCGAGGUGUAAAAUACAAUUUCCUUCCCAAGCAGUUUCGUUCCGGCCUUCAACCGGGCCAACCAUGACUUGGCGCCUUCUCGAUGCCGGAUGUAAGGUGGGUUGUGAAGGCAAAUGCACCUUGCACCGUGCUGCAAACCCAUCGCUGACAACACACAAAAAAAGGGGCAAAUGAACAACAGAACUAACUGCAGCAGCUCCGGCUGCAUUUGAUUCCGGAUGAGCUUUCCCAUUUUCCGGGAAAAUGGGGCAGGAAGGUUGUGCUUGGGUUUAAAAAAUGUUUCCUUUUCCCUGUGCAUUGCAAUUACUGUCAAACCACCACUCCAGCACCACUUCGCUCCCCAUUCACAAGUUUCCGUCCGGCAAAGAUCUAUGUUUCGAUCGCCGGACGAUCCCGGAGACGCCGGGGCGAAAAGCGAACAGCGAAGCCAAGUGGAAAAUCACUUUUCAAUUAAAAAACUUUUUUAUUAGUUUUUAUUUGUACAACUUCUUUUCACAUUCCCAUGCGCAACCCUUCCCGUGGUGCAUGCCAGGGAAAAAUGUUGGGAAAACAUAAUAAAAGAAAGGAAACGUAUGCAACCGGACGGCCAACAUUGUGUGAGUGCGCGCGUUUGGGAGAGGGUGUUGAGCUUGUUUGCAAACCAGCAUUCGUGGUAACCAGGCAAAUACUGCUCUUUGCAAGCGUGCUUUAAAUUACGCGCUCUGAAAAUGGGAAAACUUUCCUUCUUGCUGACCCACUUUCACACCCCUCCUGCGGUCGAGCAGCUAUCGUCGAUCGUCCCAAGCGAUUACUGCGAGUGAAUGAUUGCAGAUUGCAGCAUUUUUAACUGGCUCUCCUCGAGUCCGUUGUUUGCAGUGGCCGGAGCGAGCAUGGAUUGCAUGGAACAUGACGGCGGCGUUCGUUUGAUUGUUGUUUGAGGAACGGUUUUAUUUGAAGCUCAUUCUCGCGUAAACGGGGUUUGGAGUGCAAAGAAAUGGUCGGCAUAGUACGCUUCUUUUUGCAAACAUUUUCUUAAUUGCAUUUUUUUCGCAGUUGGACAGUAUUUGUUGAAGAAAUCAGACUCAAAAUACGACAGAAAUCUAUUUUUUUUUUUAUUCAUAAAGAACGGCCUGGCCGUAUUGCUAACAGAAAUCCAUUGUUAACUCAAAAUUAAGCAAGUACAACGAUUUAUUCAUUAUUCAAAUAACCAGCAUUUGUAACAGACACAUGUUUUGGUUGUUGUAUUUAAAACAAAAGGUUAACUUCGAAUUUGAUGCAAAUUUGUCACAGUUCUUACAUUCUAGGUGCGUUCUACAAAAUUUAAGUAUUAUUAAUCCUUCUCAAAUGGACUUCCGGCACUUAGAGAUGACCCAAGUCAUAGCUUUAAGCUGUCUCAAAAACAAAAAAUCAUAAGCAAACAGCUCGUUCAACUAUCAGCUUUUCCCCCAUUUUGGUUAAAAAUAUUGAAGAAGACUUUCCGAUUGAUGAAUGGCCAACAAAUCUAUAAGUUGUUGCUGAGGGAAGUAGAGAGUAUAUUAAAUUAAAGACGCAAUGUCGGCUAUGUAUUCCUCACAGACACAACACUGGCUAGAAAUUUUGCAUGCCUUCAAUCUUGAACUAGAGCUUCUUGGACAAGUGGCCAGAUGCCCUAAUCCUAUUCUUCAAGGUAUAGAGCGAUCUAGCUCAUAGUUUUGGUUUAUCUCUCUCUAGAUUUACUCCACUCUCAACUGGCUCCUAGGGGCUGUGUGGUCGAGGCAAUUACGAUACUGGUCUUCUCAUGGCAGGACCGAAGUUCAAAUCCCCUCUUCCGAAACCAGAUAUGUUAGGCCAAAACCUUUCGAGAUUUGAAACACAAAAAAAGAAGAAGCUGCCCUGGAAGACCCCAUUCAAUAUUCUCAAUUUUCUCUAAAAAGAAAAGUUUUGAAGAAAAUCAUUAGGUUUCGGGUAGAGAUCUGGACUAAAUAAUAUCCAAAAGUUCAAAAAACGAAAACAUUGUCUCUAUUUAAUUUCUCUUCUGUUUUUCUAAUGAAGUAUGCUGGCUUAAAAAAUAACAGCCAUAUUUUUACAGACAUCGCGUUCAAUAUUCAAAAUUAAUUAUUUGAAGUAUAAAUACUGUAGCACUGCACAUUGAAAAUCAUGUAAAAUUAUCUGUUUUCAUUUACUUUUUUGCCAAAUUCGAUUUGCUUUUUUAUGAUAAAAAUUAGAUCUUAAAUAUUCUGCUCCAUAUCAUAAUCAAUAAUUUGUUUUCGCAAGCAGAAAUUCUAUUCUAACCAUGAUAUGCACGUUUUCCGAGAAAGCUAGGAUUUUUGUCUACAUUCAAAUUAGCUCUACGGCAAGAGCAAAACAAAAAACCAACACCACAAAACCACAAAAAAAUGUAAACAGCAUCAUCAAAACCACCAAAAAUCCAACCUUCAACCAGCCAGCCCACCCUGCCGAACGGGGCGCAUGGUGCAAAAGAAAAGAAUCAAAUCCCUUCCUAUUAAGCCACUGUGACUUCCUUCCUGGCGGCCGUUCCGAAUCCGGCCGAACUAAUAGCAUCCGCACAGCCCCCGUACGAGAUCUUGCCCGCGCACAGCAAGCAUGCGGUUUUGGCGAUUAGGAUGAUGACUGUUGCAAAGUGGAAAUCGCUGUGUGGAAAGUCAAACGCCGUGUGGCCGUUUAUGACGUUCUACGUUCUCUUGUUCCCCAAACGGAGGGAAAUGAUUACGUGGCGUUAUUACUUUUUCUUAUGCUUCCUUUCACAUGGUGUGUGUGUGUUUUUCUCAUCCUAAAUCCCCUUUUAGCGUGCCUCACGCUACAUGACAAGAUGGACGGGGCACCCUCCGAAGACGAGGCAGAAGAUGUCUUUUUUAAAGAUAUUUGAACACUCUAAUCGUCUGGGUUUGAUCGUUUCCGGGAUGGGGUUUGCUCAAAUGUGUGUGCGUGUUUUUUUUCUUCUUCUUCGUUUUGUUUUGCAUCAUCUUCAUCAUCUGUAAAGAUGAAAAAUGGUUGACUUUUUGCCGGGUGCUUCCUUCACUGCCGAUGACAUAUGAAUAGAUGGAAAUGAAAAGCGAGCAAACAUGGUAGCAAAAUAUCGAGAUUUACCAUGAUCUGAAUGGGAAGUUCUCGGAAAAGGGAACUGUUCCAUAUCUGGGUUCGCUGAGAUGGAAACGUUAUAUCUGUUUCUAUUGAACCAGAAAUGAUCGAUCGACACAGCCGGUAGAGAUUAAAAUAUAUGACUUAAAGGGGGUAGCAUUCGGGAUUUGGGUCUUAUAAAUAAAGCAUUAAACUGGUCAUUAAUGUAAGUAUUCCUUUUAUUUUUAGUAAGGGAAUUCGAAAACAGUUGGUGAAGUUUUCUAUAAUGUAGAAAAGUUCAUUUACUGUGUGAAAAGUGUACAUGAAUUGCAAGCAUUCCACAAUGAUGUUGACUAACACUUUCAAGAGAACCUUCAUUACUGCCGAUAUUUCUUCCUCAGCAAAGAGCUCUUAAUGCCAUAACGAAGUUUCCACAAAAUAAUUUGUUAAGUAAGUGGCUGUCCACUAUAUUACUCCGGAUCUCAUAAGAAUAAAAAGAAAGCAAACACUUCAACCCCGUAAACUAUCUUGUUUUCCCAGAGCAAGCUCAUGUAUUACCACCACCUUUUCGCUAUCAUUUUCCCCACCUACUCACUGGACAUUACAUUACAAAACUUCGGCUCACCAAGAGGGAACAAAAACUCUCAUCAUUUUUAAAGCAUUGCAUCCUUAUCGGUAUGAAGCACAUGAAAAAAGCAACCAACGGUGAAACCAGCUAAUGUGUCCACUCCGGUCCGUUCCGUGCAGUUUAAGUGUUUGCCAGCAAAAUUGCAGCAUCCUCUCGUUGCACAAACUUGGCUGAAACAUCGUUAGUAUCACUGUGGUGUUUCCUUCAGCUAACCCAACUUAGCUGCGGUUAACAAGUAGCAGUGAUACCGACCGGAGCUAAAAAGGACGAGCUCUAACACCAACCACACCGGCUAAACUCUUACCUUUGCCACACCACAAUCUUACGCCUCACGGGACAACGCUGCCCACCAGAAAACCCAUCCUGCACCGAGACUUCGGGGACAUAAUAAAACCACCGUGAGGUUUGCACGGUGGCCGGAACCGGCGGGGAGCAAAAUGUGAAAAGACCGUGGCAAAAGUGGUUGAUAUAAAUUAUUUACAGCUUUUGCGGUUAGGGAGCAAGUAUGGUUCCGGCUCUUUUUUUGUUUUGUUCUGCAUUAUAUGUACCGCUCCAAGCACUCGGCACGAGGUAGGGGACAACGGUCACAGAGUUAGAGUCAGGCUGGUCCGACAACGUACCACGAUCACCCUGGGGAAAGAUUCCUGUGCAUCCUCGGCGGGUUUUGCCGGAUGUGACGGGUGUACAGAGGGACGCGCUAUAACAAAAAAGAAACAUUAACACAAGCACUAGCGUCCGUCUGGAAACCGAGAGAGAGAGAGAAUAAAAUUUGUUGUAAAUUACCUUUAAUGCGUUCAAUGUAUGCGACUGCGGCUGGGCAAGGCACGGGAGAAGCACCUUUGGGUACCGUCUAAUUUAUGGGCGUAGAUGGCAAAGGAGGAACGGUAGAAUUUCCAGCCAUUUAGCAUCAACCAACGAAUCGCGGCCAAGUCCUUGAGGUAUACUUUAAUGUGGCAGUUGGACUGCUUGACUUAUUUAUUCGGGUAACUCCCAUAUUUGCAAGGUUUUUGCUAGCAGAGAUAGCUUCUUUUAUACUUAUUGUGAUACUUGAGAUGCUAUAUGUAAGAGCACUCUUUAAAAAAUGAUAAGGAAGUGUUUUCAAGAAGAAUCUUCACGAAAACCCACUUUAAAAUAAUGCUUUGUUCUAAUAUAUUUAACGAAGAGUUGCCAUAAAUCUUUUUUUUUUUAAUAUCUGGAAAUGAAUUUCUGGCCGGUGUGGGAACCUUCGGGAUAUUGAAGACCUCUAAAAUUGGUUCUGGUAAAAACCAGAAAAGGGCGCUUGAGAUAAUGUGAAGAGCCAACUCUCUUUCGUAAUGCUUAAUGUUAGAUUUAUUGAAUCAUCAUUAAUAAUUGUUUCUCUCUAAUUGCAGUUCUCACCCGCCAACAAAAUAUGGCCCACUGGAAGCUCUUCCACCAGAAGUAACAGUAACCCAUUGCCAUAUGCGUAAUGUGUUUAUUUAAGCAGCUUUUAACACCGCAUUCAUAAAAUCUUUCCGAGCGUUAAGCCCACUCAACUAAACAUCAGUUGCAGUCAGCAGGCGGCUAAUAUGUUUAAAUUGGUUUGCAUGUGAUUCAAUUUUGAAUGGAACGCUAUAUCUCAUAAUGUCCGUACUCCGGGCCGAGAUCGAUGAUAGCCCGUUGACCUGAAUGAUAUGCUCCACCAUUACGUUCUGCUCUCUGUUCGGUUCUGUCACCAAUCUCCGGCAGAUUCUCCCACUUAAGGGUGUCGGAAAUUAGUUUAAACAUGAAACAAUUACCCUCCGAUUGCAGCAAAGCGUUGAUGGAAACCCGUCUCCAGCCCAACCCCAACCCCAGAGACACUAGACAAACGCUCCCGUGCAAGGAAUACUAAUGCCGCCCGGCUUGAAGACGCACGAACCAAGAACCUUGAAGGGUUCGCACGACAAGAAGCAGAAUGGCUAAUCGGAAUCAGUGUCAUAGAUCUGAUCUAAUCACGUCUGCUGCAAGCGCUGUGGCGAAGAGCGACGUUGGGCGCUGCACAAAAUUAAACACGGAAGAGCCAAAGACAAGCAGAUGGUGUGUGUGUGUGUCUGUCCCGGAGCAAGAUCGAUGCAUUACGGGCAGUGUUUGGCCGGUUAUGUACGCUCCAGUGGCACAGGUGCAAGAAUUGCAUGUUCUCGCAGCUGCCAGCAAGCAAGCGGCAGUAGCAGGAUGCAGCACCGGCCAUCUUCAAGAAGAAGAAGGAGACCCCCAAGCGUACAAUGCUAAUGGUGUCUAAAAUAACACGCUGCUUCUUUCACCAGGUUUGAGGCGUAAUGGAGAAUGUGGAAGAAAUUUAAUUUGAUUUGUUAUCGUUUCAGGAAACCGUGCAGCCAGGAGACCGAGUGCUGGGGAAGAUGCAGGUCUGUGAUUGAGUUGCUGGUCGGUGCGAGCUGCCGGGGCCGGCUAGCUUUCGUGCUCAGAAGACGACCCCUAGACGCAUCAGACCUAGCCGGAACCAGACAGGUGGUGCAAUUUGUGGGUUAUAAUGAGACAAGCGAAACCAUCCGAGCCGAGUGGUGGCGAGAAGCGAGCAGACGAAGAAGAUGAAGGCUGAGUAGACAACACAUCCGGUCCGAUUCCUCGUGGAAAGCGGGGAAGCUUUUGGGGUGUUUGAAGUGCCUUUCUAUGGUGGUGGAUUCGUUGAAGUUGGUCUGUCGAUAGGGCAUCGACAGCUACACCCGUACCUGUCAAGAGCGACAGGGCGUAUCCAUUUCCCGAGCGUACUCGUGGCUUGCCUCUUGUCGGAUAAGAGACGUACACUCGUGUGCCUUCUGACAAUGAAAAGAGCACAAAGGCCCCCUUGAGCUGUUAUAUGGUAAAAUGUUGUUUGAAGAACAGAAGCAACUGCUACUCAGCGCUUCAGGUGCGUACCACACUCUCGUUCUCCCUGAAGUGUCUGUAUCUUUUGCCGGGCGAGGAUCAUAGAAAUGCCACCCAAGAGCGCGCUUGGGGUAUCUAUUGCACGAUCUAAGCCCUCCCGCCGUCGCACCGUAGGGCACACACAUACACACACGUCAAACUAGCUCGGGAAACAAUUGAAUUUCAUAAUAAAACAAUUGAAUUAACGAAACAAAACAGACUGCUCUACUGCGAGCUGAGGGGAUCCGUGAUGUAGAACAGUGUCAUUGAAGCCCGGCUCCUGCUCAGAGUUUCUCGCGUAAAAGAGCUCCCGGGGUUUGGUCGUGGGUUGGUGUUGAAACUAUCAAACAGCACAGCCGAACCCGUAUGCCGUAAAACCAUUUACCACCACAAAUAUGCCCGUAAGCGAAAGGCGAAAGAUUAAGACUUACUCGUGUCGGAGCUGACACGCCGGUGAGAACGACGCUCGGCUGAAAACUUCUUCUCCCGCGUGUGGGUGCAACGGCUUUUGGGGAAUGAAAUUUAAAUAUUUUUCCCCCCAUACUCUACCUAUGGGGUUCCUGGACGGUUCGGCACACACAGCGCUUCGCUCGUUCAUACUAUGGGCCAGAGACGUACAACUAGUGAUGGAGGAGCGAAUGUUUAUCUUUCACAACACAACGCCCGGUUAAGCUACUACCUACCUAGCUGGGAUCCGAAAGGAUGUCUUUAGCUCGAACAAAAGUUCGAGCACCGGCAAAGGCUUCGGGAGCCAGCAGGACGAAAGCUCAGCCGUACAAUAUCCUUAUGGCUGGAGGCAGUUUGCUCCCUUUAAGCUACCGUUUGCAAAUCCGAUUGUGGCAGCUCGUUUGACUGCUUCUGUCUGAGCCAUUCCAGCAGACGGAAGGCCCCUUUGCCAAGCAGUAUCAGUUCCCCACGGGAGCGCAAACUUCGAGCAAGUUCUUCCGAUUUUUGUACCUCAUUUUUCAACCAAAGAAAAAAAAGGAAAGUCCCCCUCGGGUGAGGCUCUUCCAUCACCGGGGAGUAGUAGUCCCACCACCACCCGGGAAAGACAUGCAUAUUUAUUAGUUUUAUUUCUUCGUCUUUUAUUUUUUACUCUUUGUUGCUCGUGCUGGUACGUGUGCUCCAUUCUCAAUAGGAUGGAAACCGAUUGGGCGGUGUUGGCGGACACGUUUCUCCGUCUCUCGUUUUUCUUCUAUAUCUGCAUGUAUUUAUGGCUUCAAGCAGACAAAAGACAAUGUCAGCGAAAAAAAAAAUCAGAGAAGCGAUUAUCGUGGCACGAAAACCGAAAGCAGUCUCCUGGAGACCUCACCACGUGGUGGAGAAUUUCUUCCGUUUUUUGAACUUAAAAAAGAACUUUAACAUUUUCUUACUGUUAAACCGGAAGAACUGUUUCCUUCUCACCCGUCCCUUUUGUGUCACAAAGAUCUGAGGAGCUGCUCCCGGGUGAGAAAUGAAUAAUCAAACUGACGUUUCCCGAAAGCGGACGUGUAAAUAUUUGCACCUUGCCGACGGACGGUGGCAAACGUUCUACCAUGAUGAACUGACAAAGCAAGUUGUCGGGCUAUUGGCUCUCGUCCCCGGUGUCCUCUAUGUCAACCCCGGUACACCUGGGUGGCUGGGUGGUCCGUUAAGGGGAAAUGAUAUAAAUCACGUCUAUAAAUUUUCCACCAAAUGUCACCUUUGGCGAUUGUGAACGUGAGAGCUGCUGCUCCUGACGGCUCGUGGGAUAUUGUGUGGAAUGGUUCUAAUUUUAAGGGAGCUUUCUAAAAGCUGUUUUUUUGGGUAGAAUCGUAAGUCAAAAGUCUUAAAACUACUGGGGAAUUUUAAAAACUUUUCCUAAAAAUCAUUUACAAAAAUUAAGAUGUUUUUUCAGUAACCAUGCUUCGUUCUAAAAAUAAUUUAAGUAGUUGAAGAGUCAUAAAAUGCAAUUAAAAAUUGUAGGAAAAUUCAAUCAAAGGCUAAGGUACCAGUAAUCUUGCGUAAUCGUAAUUUAAGGACUCAUAAAAGCAAACAGUUUUGAUGGCCAUCUAUUGCAUCAAUUAAUUUAAAUUGAUAUGGAAUGCCUUUCCAGCACUUCUCUUUGAAUUUAAAAAAAAAUUGGCCAAUUAUUCAAGGUUCAUGAAAUUCAAAGAAUAUUAUUCAAAGCAUUAUUGAAAAAAAUAUAUAGUUAAAUAUAUAUUUAACUGAUAGUUGAAACACUUAAAUGAAGUGUUCGAUCCAACAGAAUCGAUCGAAAAAUUAUUUUGUAAAGGCUUCGACACCUUGCCGCAACGUUCUUCCGAUCCGUUGUGCUUCAACACUACGAGCCAAACUUCCAUAAUUGCACUAAUGAAGUUUAAAGCUACGUAGUCAUGAUGCGAGCAAAGUUUUAAUGAGAAGCACAAUUUAUGUGGCAUUGUUUGCUCUCGAAACCCCAAUUACGUAUGCUCGCAUGCACAAUUUCUUCACCGCGCUCUGUUGUGCUAUUAAAUUCUUCGCCUGCAACUUUCACAGGCUUUACCUAUCGACGAUCCCCCGUCGCAGCCUCGUCCGUGCUUUAUGAUGGAAAACUUGUGCUCACCUUCUUACUGGGGGCGUGAGAUACCGGUGUGUAGCCGACUCGUGUGCCGAACGGGGAACAGGCCGUGUACUACCGAUCUGUAAAGAAAGCACAUACAUAAACAUAUUACUAUUCAUUGUUUUACUCACUUUCAGGCACUUUAUUCUACACCCCCUUUGGCAACUGAUGGCUUGCGGGCGGGCGGUGCCCGAGGUGCCCGAGCGAGAAUCAAGAUGAAACACCGACACGUUCACUUGUCAGCAAGAAGGAAGACGCUGCCGGGUCGGAUGUUGCAGUCGCAAGUUUGACGCUGCCGGUUUGUCAUUCGUAAGCGUUUCUCACCGGAUGCGAAGGAAAGGAGCUUUGUGUGUGAGUGUGUGAGUCGGUGCUGAACCCAUGCAAACAUACAAAGUGCUUCUUAAUGGUGUUUCUUGUUAGGGCUCAAUUAACGCAAGCUGCAGGGUUGCGUCUACACGAGCAUUGCAGAGGUUCGUAUCCGUCGUGGUGCCCAUGUACGACCAUUUCUCACCUUCGAUCGCAAUAUUGUUGCACGACAAAGGGCGCACAAUUUUAAGGCAAACAAUUUUGCUCAUUGCAGAUGUGGUUGUUCCCAUAAAUCAAAGUCACUUCUGAUGCAAUAUGCCACCCGGUGCAGGAAAAGUUGAACUUUAGAAAUUUUCAAGAUGGAGUUUCUCUCCUUUAAGUAUUAAACACAUUGCUCAUGUAAAGAAGUGUUACAAAGAUGUCCUUUGAAGUAGCCAAAAUUACAAUCCUACGUCAAAUAAGUUCGGAAGGCAAUUUUGUAGUUUGCCAAACAAGAAUUCACAAUAAAAAGGAAAUUUGGGGUUUAACUCCUCACAAAAGCGA
Long non-coding RNA from Anopheles stephensi (Asian malaria mosquito), 13127 nucleotides. RefSeq lists it as uncharacterized. The transcript is spliced from 3 exons. NCBI's taxonomy places the organism in Eukaryota, Metazoa, Arthropoda, Insecta, Diptera, Culicidae. The record is from RefSeq and is a predicted model, not a curated record.